This 445-nucleotide ribosomal RNA is filed under the name uncultured organism. Its description in RNAcentral is "partial 16S ribosomal RNA". It matches the Rfam family "Bacterial small subunit ribosomal RNA", at positions 335 to 797 of the family's 1533-position model. The record is from RNAcentral.
ACUCCUGCGGGAGGCAGCAGUGGGGAAUAUUGGACAAUGGGCGCAAGCCUGAUCCAGCCAUGCCGCGUGAGUGAUGAAGGCCCUAGGGUUGUAAAGCUCUUUCACCGGUGAAGAUAAUGACGGUAACCGGAGAAGAAGCCCCGGCUAACUUCGUGCCAGCAGCCGCGGUAAUACGAAGGGGGCUAGCGUUGUUCGGAUUUACUGGGCGUAAAGCGCACGUAGGCGGACUAUUAAGUCAGGGGUGAAAUCCCGGGGCUCAACCCCGGAACUGCCUUUGAUACUGGUAGUCUUGAGUUCGAGAGAGGUGAGUGGAAUUCCGAGUGUAGAGGUGAAAUUCGUAGAUAUUCGGAGGAACACCAGUGGCGAAGGCGGCUCACUGGCUCGAUACUGACGCUGAGGUGCGAAAGCGUGGGGAGCAAACAGGAUUAGAAACCCGGUAGUCCCA